UAGGGAAUAUUGGACAAUGGGGGCAACCCUGAUCCAGCCAUGCCGCGUGAGUGAAGAAGGCCCUCGGGUUGUAAAGCUCUUUUGUCCGGAAAGAAAAGCAUUCGGUGAAUACCCGGAUGUUCUGACGGUACCGGAAGAAUAAGCACCGGCUAACUUCGUGCCAGCAGCCGCGGUAAUACGAAGGGUGCAAGCGUUACUCGGAAUUACUGGGCGUAAAGCGUGCGUAGGUGGUUGUUUAAGUCUGAUGUGAAAGCCCUGGGCUCAACCUGGGAAUGGCAUUGGAAACUGGGCAGCUAGAGUGCGGUAGAGGGUAGUGGAAUUCGCGGUGUAGCAGUGAAAUGCGUAGAGAU
This 350-nucleotide ribosomal RNA is filed under the name uncultured bacterium. Its description in RNAcentral is "bacterial SSU rRNA". It matches the Rfam family "Bacterial small subunit ribosomal RNA", at positions 355 to 697 of the family's 1533-position model. The record is from RNAcentral.